Corythoichthys intestinalis (scribbled pipefish) is the source of this 890-nucleotide long non-coding RNA. RefSeq lists it as uncharacterized. The transcript is spliced from 3 exons. Lineage: Eukaryota; Metazoa; Chordata; Actinopteri; Syngnathiformes; Syngnathidae. The record is from RefSeq and is a predicted model, not a curated record.
AAUUAUAUGUAAAACUAAAUGUUGUUUUAGUUUUUAGAAAAAUGUUUCUUGCAUGACCGUAUGAAAAUAAGGACUUCCGGGGUUGCGUGAAAUGGUGAGAAAGGAGAGAGUGAGGAGAGAGAGAGAGAGAGAGGAACUCGAGAAGGCUGAGGGGAAAGACGUCCAGUAACGGCAGAGUGGAAAAGCUGAGACAAUUGUGGACUUUUUUGAAUGACUUUUGGUGAAAGUGCUCAGAAAAAGGACUUGGGGGACGUCAAUCGUCAUUGUUGGAUGUCUUUGAGUGGUCUACUCAAGCGGAACGAGUGGAGCUGGUCGCUAAAAAAGAGGCUAACAGUCGCUCGUGGCUAACCCAGAAGCUAGCGGACGCCUGUCGCUAGCAAAAAAGCUAACGGACACUCGUGGUGAGCCCAGACACUUGGCUAGACGUGUAGCGACCUGCUAAACAAGUGAGCUAAGCGUUUGUGGACGAACCAACCGGGAGAAAGGACAACCCGAAGCCGACGAGGAGGACGACGCCGACCCGCCGACGGAGAGGGACUCUAUGGGCAUUGUAAGCAAGUUGGAGCGUCACUUUUUCAACGAACAUCUGCCUUUCGGAGUGUUUGGAGGAAACGGCAUACAUAAAGGGCGUUGUGUGUCGCACAAGAAGUACGCCACUACGAGACAAAACAUGAAAAUUCAUGGAAAACAGAGCCAGGGAUCACAUCUAGAUAGUUGGGUGCAAAACCGGGGACUGAGAUGAGUGGAAGAGGAGCCUGAGAGGGGCGGUUUGCAGCCAGAGCCCUCUCUGUUUUUUGGAACAACAAAUAGAGGAAAAAAAACAAGCUUGUUGAAUUAAAUGAGCAAUGCAACGAAAAAUUGACCAGAUCUUUAAGAGAAAGAAAAGAAUU